ACGACUACAGGUGGGACUGGUUAAACUCGCGUCCUUCGUUUCGACUCUUAGCUACGGGUGGGUCGAGGCCGAAGAGGCCGCUCCGAUGGCUCGGCGGCGGCGGCGGCGGCGGCAGCGCCGCAGGUUCCGUCCCCGCUCCUCCUUCCAAGAACUACCUUGGGGGCGCCGCGAGCCGAAGGCCUACGGCCGACUCACCCUCGGCGUGCUGGUCACGACCUAACCCACCGGCCUGCGAGUUCCUAAAACCUCUCUACGCCGACGGGGACGAGUUUUUCGGAAACGUUUACAACAUCUACGUUAGAGUUCCAAACUCGGUCAUUGACAUACGACAUUGCGAUGGGUCCAUACGUCUGAGUAGGUAGUCUCUUAGAAAAAGAACAGACCUACUAAACAGUCUUUAAGUCCUAUGCUUAUAGUAGCCGAAGUUAAAAACAACGAAAGUGGGAUCUCCAAAUGGAACGAGAUAAAAACGUAGGCACCUCAUGCGCUCCCAUCAGGUAAACUACCUUGUAUUUAGGUUACAAUCUCACCAUCUCUACUCGCGAACAGAACAAACCAACGCACUAAACCCGGGGUCAAAACAGCACGCACUUCCGCUGUGUUCUAACUCCUCUCUUUAACGUCCCCACCUAACCGUCAUGUUACGUAUACCUCCAAUAUUACCAAAUAAACCCGGUCUUCUAGUAGUCGAGUUAUCCUCUUUUCCUGUACUUCUUGUAUAUUGACUUCUGUUGGAACAACGGUCCUUCCAAAACCUUAACCUCUCCUAAGGUUCCAAACUUUGGUUAAAACAAGAACUUCCACCUUCGUAAGUACAGCUGCCUCUUCCUUGGACAUAGUGGUGACUCGUCACAAAUACGGUACCCUUGUCUUUAGGGGUGUACUCAUUCCUACUCUAUCUCUUGGUCGACUUCUGAGUAGAACCACACAGCUUCCAGUAUACCAAUGGGUUUCCCGAAAUGCCCCUACUUUACUAGUCACCCGUACAACUGUUGUAUACGACGAAAUGACCAGGUAGGUGACAAGAGAAUAGUACCUAGCUGCUGUUUAGACUAGGAGUCAUACUCGUAAGUCGACGGCGUAAGCUGCAAGACAGGUUAUGGUGACUACGGUUCCCGGCCUUCAAUCUAUAAUAGUUCUAAGUACAGGGACCCGGUGACAUGUACUGACUUCUUCAUCGUGUUGGUAAAGAUCCGAGCCACCGUAAUCCCGUCGUCUCCAAUCGACCUAGCAUACACUUGAAGAUGUAGCGGUUACCACCCCAACAUCGUGGUCGGAAACCACUGUUCACCCUACUUCUUCGUGCGUUUUAAAACCUCUUUCACAAAGGGUUUGUGCUCCAUCACUACCACCUUCCCCCCUCCCUCUAACAGGAGCCUCCUCCUUUGUAAGUAACGCGCUGCGUCGUCGUUGGACGGCAAACGGGGGUAGGGAGACUACGCCUGUGGUACCUCCCAGUCCCAACUCCCUUCCCCGCUCUUCGACCGUGGUACUACCUGUCCGUUUUCUUUUCCUCUCCCCUUUUUAUGGUCGUAUAUGCCACCAUUACAACGGGUGAACUUCUAUCUGCUAAAUACGGACAGAGCACCAGAGUCCCUAGUCCCUAGUUGUUUAGGAUAUCUUCAGACGUUUGACUUGCUUCGUGUGCGUUUUCUAGUUCACAAAGAGAGAAGAAGAACAAACGUGUUUAGAGAAGAUCCAUUAUGAGGAUGCAUCAUCAUUACAAAAAUAAUAAAGAUCCAACGGAUAAAAAGACUUCGGAUCAAGUAAAAGGGAUUGGUUCGUAAGGGAAAAUCCGGAGGCAAUGUUGAGAUCUUUAACAAGUCCUUGAAUACUCACUUUAGUAUGUUUUAUCAGAAAAGAUACUUUUACAAGGUCGGAGAAACUAGAACGUCAAAGAAUUUUUAUUUAGUUUAUGAAAUAGUAUUAGGAUUUUUUUGAGAGACUUACGCUAGUUUAUCGGAAUACAACGACGCCCUUUAACUAGGCGUGUCGUGGUGUCUAAGGAGUAACCUUUUACGACUUAUCGGACUGUUGAUUGUGGAUUUAAUUAAACCGACUGGUCUUUAUGAUUAUGAUUGAGGGUUUAACGUGGUAGUUGUGAAACCCUUUUCGUGUUUCCUUACUCUAUGGUACAUGAUGGAGGCAGAGGGUUUUCUUCCGGAUAUUUAAAAGAGAAUUCAGUUUGCUACGUUUUAAAUUGGUUUUAAUAUCUUUUUUUGAAAUUUGUUGAUGUUAUGUUUUAAUCAUUAUGAUUUAUGUGUUAUUCUAUGUAGAAUAUAAUAUAUAUAAACUAUAACAUCAACACUUAUAUAAAAGGAUGUUUAAACCAGUUUUAAACGUGGUAAACUGAGCUAUGUUUUCAAUAUUCGGAUAAGAGUUGGCAAUCAAGAGGUUUAAAGGAUAUUUGGUGGAUUAAAACAUUCUCCAAAAAUUUUUAUACUUGUUCCAUUUAAAAAUAUACCUGCAACGAUUACAAACUAGGUGCAGUUUUAGAAGUAUUCGUGUUUAUGUAGUUUCUGGUUUCUAAACAAGGGACACGUAUCAUUAAGAUACUUCUCUAGUAUAUGUUUAUCCCUUUGAGAGGAAAAAAAUCUACUUAUAUCCCUUUGAGAGGAUUUAAGUAAAAAACUUGAACGUUUGAGAAGAGCCGUCAAACGGAGGUCUAAACUUUUUUUAUUUAUCUUUCUUCAUAAGUUUAGUAGGAGUUUAAGUGAGAAACCCUAUGUAUGGGGGGACUUGACUUUUGGUCCCGUUUAUUGUGGGACUUUAAUGAGUUUGACCCAAUUAUUGGGGGAACUCGCCAAAUAUACAUUAGACCUCGCCAAAUCCGACCAGUGUUACCCGUUCUUGUAUUCGAUCAUUGAAUGUGUGAAGAGAUCUGAUACAAUGAUGGAGGUAUCACACAUCCUUGUAGAUACAUCACAGUACGUUGCUACAUAAAUAAUCCAAUAUCUGGGUAACAAAGAACCUCAUACACUACAAGGCCAUUGAAUUCGAUCAAUGGUGUUCGUGGAGAGAAAAAUAAUUUAUACACAGUGUAUUCGUUUCAACAUAACCUCACACACUACAAUGACUCGUUCAUAUUAUCUCUACUCAACCGCCCGAUAUUCCUUAUUUGAUCAUAUAAAGACGAAUCAACCUCCUUUCUCUUCUCCUCUCUCUUCCAUUCGCCCGAGAAGUACUUCUCGGUCGAGAUCGUGCACGAGGAUACGUGAAACACUCUUACUUUCUACCCGGUGCAUUAUUUUUUUAUCAUGUGAAAAAACUAGAUGAUAACAUGUACAACGAAUAUUUUACCCGACAUAUACUGUGACCGAAUAUCGGUCGUCGACCGAUAUGAUAAUUGGUACGAGAUUCAAGGAGGGGGUCGGAAUACACGCGGGUACUAAGACUAAUCCGCGACUGACCCGUCUCUUGCGACUCAUCUGGUCCUAGCGUUGGGGGUUGUUUGGGGUUAGAGGUAAGAGGCGGAAAGAAAGGAAAGAACUGGUCGUCGAGGCCGCGGUCCCGGCCGGCCCUCCGACGACGCCGCUGGAGGUGAGUGCGGCGCGUCGGCCACCACCGUUUCCGCCGCGAGCAACCCUCGUGAGGCGCGCGCCGGUCCGGCUGCACGCGGAGGCGCGUCUUCUCGCCGCCGCCCCCGACGCUCCCCGUGGCGCGUACGGCCAUGCGGAUGACGAGGAAGUUCCCGGUGCGCGGGCGCCGCGGCGGCGACCCCCGGAAGGACCGCAGGGCCUCGUCUCGUACUUCGUGUCCCCACAGAGGCGCAAGGCGUUGGGGUUCUGGUUAGGGUUAGGGUCGUCGUUACAGCGGCCGUUUCCCCUGCUGCCCAAGAAGCAGGUCCACCGCACAGGGCCGCUGCCGCGGGCGGGCUUCUGCCGCUCGAGCCCGAGGACGACGUCGCCGGAGAGGCGGCUCCUCCACCUCAGAGGGAUGCAGUUGAAGCCAGCGGCCUCAGAGGCCCCGCCCUGCCUGUUCACCCGGCUGGGCCCGCGGAGCCACCUGCCGAGGACGCCCAGGUCGCUACAACACAUAGCUGACUUCCUUGCUGCGGUCGAACAGCUUCUUGUUUUACAACCUACGCAUACACACACUAAACCUUCAGUUCGUAGCACCUCUUCAACUACAGAACUUCUUAUUCUAAGUCUUUGACGUCAAGAAGAAACACGAACGAGACAAGACGAAACAGUAAAGUGUGAGAACCUUUACUAACAGCACUUCUUCUUCUCCUUCUUCUUCUUCUUCUUCUUCGAUCAAACACUUCCUC
This 4270-nucleotide ribosomal RNA is filed under the name Triticum aestivum (bread wheat). RNAcentral describes it as "partial small subunit ribosomal RNA". Lineage: Eukaryota; Viridiplantae; Streptophyta; Magnoliopsida; Poales; Poaceae. The record is from RNAcentral.